RNAcentral lists this long non-coding RNA (869 nucleotides) under Pan troglodytes (chimpanzee). Its description in RNAcentral is "long non-coding RNA NONPTRT006897". The record is from RNAcentral. Lineage: Eukaryota; Metazoa; Chordata; Mammalia; Primates; Hominidae.
CAAAUGGCCGCGGCGGCCCCAGGUCCGGCGUCACUCAGACAAGAGGGCGGGUAGAGGAGGAAGCGGCCAAGUCCACAGUACUGCUCUGGUGCCGCCGAUCACCGCUCACCUCAGCUGACCAGCCCUGUCCUCUACUGGGCCUCGCCUAGAGGAGGGAAAGGCCGCGGCGUCCGCUUCCUCCGCGGCUCAUGGCGACGACGCUUGGCACAUCCGGGACCCUCAGGCCGCUGCGGUCGCGUCGCCGGCUGCUCGGGCCCCAACCCCGGCCGCUGUGGUGACUCCGCCGCGCCUCGCCGUCGCCCCCGUCCCGCCCGCCGCCCCAGCCGCCAGGAACAUGUCUAACCUCGGAGGCCGUAGGAACGGGCCUGUCGAAGUGCGCCUGACAGGAAUCAUAUUGACAGGUCAUGAAAAUGAGACCAAAAGAUCUCUGGAAGCGAUUAAUGAUAAAAUUUCAUGGAGAAGAAGGCCUUGACUACGGAGGGGUUGCCAGCCCAACUCAACUGGAGUCCUGAGAAGGUGACCAGACCAGGAUGGAGGCCCAGGGAACUCACCAGAAGUCCCCAUGCAUCAGAACAAGGUCGAAGCAUCCUGAAGGACCCUUCUUUGAAUGAAACAAUAAGAUUCAUAUAAGCAACAGGUCUGAGCUGAGGUGUCAUCUCUGAACACCAGGCUGCUGCACUAACCAGAAGACCCCUCCCCCCCCUGCAGUGGCCUCGCUGCAUCGUAAGGACGGAGGAGCUGUUGUCUCCACAGCUGACAGGUGCUUAGCGGUUAGAAGUCUGGUUUUGGCGCGGCUUAGAUCUUUACAUCUGAACUAGUCUUGUCAACAUAUUUUGUUAUAUUUCUGGUGGCUUUGUCUUUGAUGCUAU